UCCUGGCUCAGAAUCAACGCUGGCGGCGUGCCUAACACAUGCAAGUCGCACGAGAAAGGGACUUCGGUCCUGAGUAAAGUGGCGUACGGGUGAGUAACACGUGACUAACCUACCUCCGAGUGGGGAAUAACCUAGGGAAACCUGGGCUAAUACCGCAUAACACUUACGAGUCAAAGCAGUAAUGCGCUUGGAGAGGGGGUCGCGGCAGAUUAGCUAGUUGGCGGGGUAAUGGCCCACCAAGGCAAUGAUCUGUAUCCGGCCUGAGAGGGCGCACGGACACACUGGAACUGAAACACGGUCCAGACUCCUACGGGAGGCAGCAGUGGGGAAUUUUGCGCAAUGGGGGAAACCCUGACGCAGCAACGCCGCGUGGAGGAUGAAGUAUCUUGGUAC
Molecule: ribosomal RNA, 393 nt
Filed under: uncultured Acidobacteriota bacterium
Lineage: Bacteria; Pseudomonadati; Acidobacteriota
Description: bacterial SSU rRNA
Rfam family: Bacterial small subunit ribosomal RNA
Source: RNAcentral